UUAAGUUCAGCGGGUAGUCCUACCUGAUUUGAGGUCAAACGACAUAUAUAUGCUUUUGUCUUUCGACAGUUAGAAGCAACCUGGAUCAAUCCCAACAAUGCUUUUUCUUAUCACAUUGCGUGUGAUCAUAGGCAGAUCGCUAAUGCAUUUAGGAUGAGUUGUGAUCUCCACAACAACACCCAAAUCCAAUUCCAAUCAAA
Molecule: unclassified non-coding RNA, 200 nt
Filed under: uncultured Geastrum
Lineage: Eukaryota; Fungi; Basidiomycota; Agaricomycetes; Geastrales; Geastraceae
Description: sequence contains ITS2
Source: RNAcentral